This 514-nucleotide ribosomal RNA is filed under the name uncultured bacterium. RNAcentral's name for it is "bacterial SSU rRNA". It matches the Rfam family "Bacterial small subunit ribosomal RNA", at positions 15 to 518 of the family's 1533-position model. The record is from RNAcentral.
GAUCAUGGCUCAGGAUGAACGCUAGCUACAGGCUUAACACAUGCAAGUCGAGGGGCAGCAGGAAUCUAGCUUGCUAGAUUGCUGGCGACCGGCGCACGGGUGAGUAACGCGUAUCCAACCUUCCCCAUAGUAGAGGAUAGCCCGGCGAAAGUCGGAUUAAUACUCUAUGUUGUAUUUUGAGGACAUCUGACGAAUACCAAAGAUUGAUCGCUAUGGGAUGGGGAUGCGUCUGAUUAGGUUGUUGGCGGGGUAACGGCCCACCAAGCCGACGAUCAGUAGGGGUUCUGAGAGGAAGGUCCCCCACAUUGGUACUGAGACACGGACCAAACUCCUACGGGAGGCAGCAGUGAGGAAUAUUGGUCAAUGGGCGAGAACCUGAACCAGCCAAGUAAGCGUGCAGGACGACUGCCCUAUGGGUUGUAAACUGCUUUUAUAGGGGAAUAAAGUCCACUACGUGUAGUGGUUUGUAUGUACCCUAUGAAUAAGGACCGGCUAAUUCCGUGCCAGCCGCCGC